Molecule: small nuclear RNA, 315 nt
Filed under: Octodon degus (degu)
Lineage: Eukaryota; Metazoa; Chordata; Mammalia; Rodentia; Octodontidae
Description: 7SK RNA (ENSODEG00000023682.1)
Rfam family: 7SK RNA
About the family: 7SK was discovered as an abundant small nuclear RNA in the mid-70s but a possible function has only recently been suggested. Two independent studies have found that 7SK RNA binds the CDK9/cyclin T complex (known as elongation factor P-TEFb).
Source: Rfam by way of RNAcentral
GGAUGUGAGGGCGAUCUGGCUGCGACAUCUGUCACCCCAUUGAUCACCGGGGUUGAUUCGGCUGAUCUGGCUGCCUGGGCGGGUGUGCCCUUCCUCCCUCAACGACCCAUGUGUGUCCCUUCCGAAGCUGCAUGCUAGGUGGAAGAGGAUGACCACUCCCGAUAGAGGACUGUACCUCAGUCCAGCGUAUAGAGUAGCUGCGCUACCUCGCUAGAACCUCCAAACAAGCUCUCAAGGUUCAUAAAAUCGCUAUACCUUUAAUUCUUUCAUAGUUCACACAAAAUGUAGUUUUUACUUGGAAUAAAAAAAGAAAUU